This 468-nucleotide ribosomal RNA is filed under the name uncultured bacterium. Its description in RNAcentral is "partial 16S ribosomal RNA". It matches the Rfam family "Bacterial small subunit ribosomal RNA", at positions 28 to 507 of the family's 1533-position model. The record is from RNAcentral.
GACGAACGCUGGCGGCGUGCUUAACACAUGCAAGUCGAACGGAAAGGCCCUGCUUUUGUGGGGUGCUCGAGUGGCGAACGGGUGAGUAACACGUGAGUAACCUGCCCUUGACUUUGAGAUAACUUCAGGAAACUGGGGCUAAUACCGGAUAGGAGCUCCUGCUGCAUGGUGGGGGUUGGAAAGUUUCGGCGGUUGGGGAUGGACUCGCGGCUUAUCAGCUUGUUGGUGGAGUAGUGGCUUACCAAGGCUUUGACGGGUAGCCGGCCUGAGAGGGUGACCGGCCACAUUGGGACUGAGAUACGGCCCAGACUCCUACGGGAGGCAGCAGUGGGGAAUAUUGCACAAUGGGCGGAAGCCUGAUGCAGCAACGCCGCGUGCGGGAUGACGGCCUUCGGGUUGUAAACCGCUUUCGCCUGUGACGAAGCGUGAGUGACGGUAAUGGGUAAAGAAGCACCGGCUAACUACGUG